AAGGUAGCGAAAUUCCUUGUCGGGUAAGUUCCGACCCGCACGAAAGGCGUAACGAUUUGGGCACUGUCUCAACGAGAGACUCGGUGAAAUCAUAGUACCUGUGAAGAUGCAGGUUACCCGCGACAGGACGGAAAGACCCCGUGGAGCUUUACUGUAGCCUGAUAUUGAAAUUCGGCACAGCUUGUACAGGAUAGGUAGGAGCCUUUGAAACGUGAGCGCUAGCUUACGUGGAGGCGCUGGUGGGAUACUACCCUAGCUGUGUUGGCUUUCUAACCCGCACCACUUAUCGUGGUGGGAGACAGUGUCAGGCGGGCAGUUUGACUGGGGCGGUCGCCUCCUAAAAGGUAACGGAGGCGCUCAAAGGUUCCCUCAGAAUGGUUGGAAAUCAUUCAUAGAGUGUAAAGGCAUAAGGGAGCUUGACUGCGAGACCUACAAGUCGAG
This 441-nucleotide ribosomal RNA is filed under the name Staphylococcus aureus. RNAcentral's name for it is "partial 23S ribosomal RNA". It matches the Rfam family "Bacterial large subunit ribosomal RNA", at positions 1953 to 2393 of the family's 2925-position model. The record is from RNAcentral. Lineage: Bacteria; Bacillati; Bacillota; Bacilli; Caryophanales; Staphylococcaceae.